AGAGUGACCAGGGCCCAAGCAGUGUGUCAUGAAGAGCCGGGGCCGGGCCCCACUCCCCCAGCAGAGAAGCAACCCUCGUGGGAAACCCCUCACCUGUUAGGGGUCUUCGAACUGACCACGGGAUCGAAAGUACAAUGGGAGCUCCUUAGGGCAGAGGCUCCACCUGGGAAGAGGCACCAGGCACACAGGAGGCCCCAACCAAUGGAUGCUGAUGAGUAAGACAACAGAAAACCCGGGAGUUCCCCGGUGGUCUAGUAGUUAGGACUCAGCGCUUUCACCACUGUGCUGCAGUCUGGGUUCAAUCCCUUGUCUGGGAACUGAGAUCCCUCAGGCCUCUGCAUACCAUGACCAAAAGAAAAAAGACAGCAGAGAAAGCAAGCCAAAAACAUGUUUUGCCUAAAAGCAUUUGUAUGUCUUUGACUCAGAAUUUAACUCUGAGCUUGCUGGUAUCCCUAAGAGCCUCAAAGUUUACAGAAUCCCCACGUUUAAAAGGAUGGAUGCCAGAAAACAUCUUUCUGGUGCUGAAUUUGUUCAGGACAAACUUUCUCAGAGGGAAUGAAAACCUGAAAACCAUAAAAAUCACUGUCUUUAUAGAAACAGGUCUUUUAAAUGUGGUGUCAGACCUACCACUGUUUUGUAUUAGUGAGAUGACACAUAAUGCACACUUUACACAUAGUCAUCAGAAGCCUAGAGCACUGAUUACUUUAUCAAUUCUCAGAAAGCAGAGCCCAGGCAUGAAUAACCACUGAUAAGACAGGUGGCAAAGCUGGGUCAAGGCCAGAACAAUUUCUCACUGAAAAGGGCAUGUCCCAGAGAAGUGUCGGGGCCUGGGGGUGCGGGUGGGGGUCCUGUCUCUGCCUGGUUGCAUGGUGGUUCCCUCUCCUGUCAGAUCCCAUCCAGGGCUCCAACACGUUCAAACACCAGGUAGGUUGUUCUCACUCAUCUGCCUGCCGCAGUCACAACUCCAGCACUGCCAGGAGUCCGCCACCCAAAGGCUUCAGUCAGCACCUGCUUUCCUGGCCUUGAUGGAAAGGGUUCUUAACUCAUGUUUGUGACGCAGUAAGAUGAUAGUUAAACCAAAAUACCUGCCAGGUGGCACGUUCAAAAGAAGGAGCAGACUGUUUUGACUGGGGAAUCACUGAAAGCACUAGCAAGAAGUGAAAUUCAAGUUUUCAAGGAUGAGCUGGAAUUUGAAACACAGAACAGACUGGAAGGACAAAAGUGGCAGUGCGUUCACAGCAUAGGGACAGGAAAGAGCACAGAUGAUCAGAGCAGGGAGUCAAGGGCUGGGAACAGGCACAGCACAAGUCAGGGUGACUGCAGAGGUCACAUCACGCCCACCAUCCAGGGCACACAGGUCACCUGCUUCCCAAGUUUGGACCUUCUCUUUUCAGCCAGGAGACCAAGGGAAAAACAAACAGAGUGACAUGGCCAAACUUGCAAAUAGGAUUUCUCCCACCCUCUGAUCUCCACUUUCAUCAUGUUCUUCCUUGUACUGGUCAUUUUUCACUCUUGUCUGAUCCCUCCUAUUGGACUGGAAGAUGCUUAAAGAUGGCUGCUUCCUCUUUACCCUCCUGGAACCUUCCCUUUUGAGUGUAGUAAGUGAUGAAUAAACAGUUGUUCAGUGGAAUUUAUGUUCAAGUUACCAUUCAGGGAACACAAGAGUGACCAAAACAGAGGGUGGGGGGGAGCCUUUUCUGCACAGGAAGAAGCUGGAACAUCAGGAAUCCAGAGAAAACAGAAAAUAGCUGUGGUUUCAGGGAGUUUUAGGGGAAGUGACACAGACCCUAAACAACUGAUAAGGAUAAGGACGAAGACACAGAGGAGCAAAGAGGGAAUUUCCAGGCAACUCAACGUCCUCUGUAAGAGAAGAGGAGGAUGAGGAGGCAGGGACAACAACUUACAGGCAUGGGAGCCCUUCGACACUCAAACUUCCACAUGUCAGCCUACUUGUUCAAGUGGAUACUGAUGUUUCUGGCAUUUCCCUCACUCCAUCUUUACUCUUUAAGCCAGUAUCAUAGGUUCUUUUUUAGAGCAUCGCCUUUUCUGUGUCUCUCUCACCAGCACAGAAUCCCCAGAAGCACUGUUUGAAAUAAAAGACGAACCCUCAGGGCAAUAAUGGGGAAGUUUGCAGUUGUAUUUCUUUGGUUAUGUCCUUUCAUUCUGAGUGAAAGGCCAGUCGAGUGAAAAUCCCCCUCGUCCGGACUCGGAAGAGGUGACACCCCAAAUCACUCACGAGAAGCGGUCUUGAUGCAAACAGCAAGAGGAUUUUUAUUCCAAGCGCGCUGGGGCCCACAGUCGUACGCCACGCAGGGGUAGAGGACUGCGGCCCCAAGUGCGGAGUCAGGACAGCUUUUAUGGGAUUCACAACAAAGCCCGGGGUUCACAACAAAGCCCGCACUUCACAAAUCAAUCAUUUCAAAAUAUCACAAACCAGUCAAUUUAAAACUUCGAGAGCCCGCGGACCAAUUAAUUUUAAGUUGUUCUGGAGUUACGUGUUUGUGCCUGUCCCUGGGCGGGGGAGAUAUAUUGUCGCCAAGAUAUAUUUAUCAGGAUUUUCAACAUUUUAUAGCACAACCGAUCUUACUGGGGUCGGUUAUGCGAUUAACUUCUCUUUUUAUCUUAUGCAAGCAGCUUUACAGAAGCCAAACAAGCAGUUAAGAACCCUUUUCCCUGUUAUCUCGAGCAGUUUCAAGAAGUUUCAUGCCUAGAGGCGCGUACUCAGGGGCCUGUUUUUCCCCUUCCACAUAGUUUUGUACAGAACAGAAAGCAAGCCCUAAAACAGCAAAAAGUAUGAUCUUUUACCUAUAGGGAACAGGGUCUGGAAUUCGAGGGCAUUUAGAGCUUCUUAUUAACUUCCUGGGUUCUGGGAGGGUCAGGUUGCAUUUUCAUCCUUUCAUGAGGUUGAAGAACAGAAAUUUCUGACACAAUUUUCUGGUGAGUUUGGGCCAUGGGGAAACCUCUCUUUUCACCCACGUGAUGAGGGCUUUCCUGUAACCACGUGCAGGUUCUAGCUGCAGAACCGGGGUUGCAGGUUAAACCUGAAUCACCUAUACUUUAAUGCUGUUAUUUCCUUUUUCACUCUGCAAGCAAUUUUGAAGCUACACUUGCUCCAGGCAACCGGAUCCCUUCAGUGGUGCCUCUUUCAAACCAAAAUACAAGUUAAUAGGCAGGUGAUUUAAUCUGCCUGUAGCAAACAAUGCCUAUUUAAAAAAAAAAAAAAAA
This 3225-nucleotide long non-coding RNA is filed under the name Sus scrofa (pig). RNAcentral's name for it is "lncRNA (ENSSSCG00065044256.1)". The stretch from base 241 to 317 matches the Rfam family "tRNA". Lineage: Eukaryota; Metazoa; Chordata; Mammalia; Artiodactyla; Suidae. The record is from RNAcentral.